GACACAGUCAAUGCCAUCGCAUUUCAGCAG
This 30-nucleotide non-coding RNA is filed under the name Rattus norvegicus (Norway rat). The record is from RNAcentral. Lineage: Eukaryota; Metazoa; Chordata; Mammalia; Rodentia; Muridae.